RNAcentral lists this small RNA (482 nucleotides) under Histoplasma capsulatum. Its description in RNAcentral is "hypothetical RNA". The record is from RNAcentral. RNAcentral also lists the same sequence under 1 other name. Lineage: Eukaryota; Fungi; Ascomycota; Eurotiomycetes; Onygenales; Ajellomycetaceae.
CAAACUGUCAUUAAUUCUCUUCUUUUUUACCUUUUUCUUUUUUGCUAGCCAGGUUUUCAUUUCAUACUGCAAUAAAUACAGAGAAAAAACAGGAUCGACUAUAGGUUGAAACCGAGGUCAGUAAAAAAUCCCAGCCUUUAUUUCCAUUUCCCGAUAUGUAUGUGCAGUACGUUACCUCUGAUGUGUUUGGUCAGUACUAAUAUUUUUCGGUUUUUUUUGCGAUUAUGCUCUCAACUUCUGAAAAAUCAUAGUUAACCUACUUCUCCGCUUGGAAUGCGUAGAUUUAAAUUAGUAUCAAUCAUUUUCGAUUAACUGCAUGAGCGAUUAUUGGAAUGGCACCGCCAGAAUCGCACACGCCCAGUCAUGUAGCGCAAGAAACAUCCAAAGAGGAAAAAAGAUUUAAGUAAGGGCUUGGGGGAAGAAGCACUCUACAAGGAAACCAGUUUCAUUUCAAGAAAAAUGUCGCGCAGAUGUGAUGCAUU